This 399-nucleotide unclassified non-coding RNA is filed under the name soil metagenome. RNAcentral's name for it is "partial contains 5.8S ribosomal RNA, internal transcribed spacer 2, and large subunit ribosomal RNA". The stretch from base 1 to 120 matches the Rfam family "5.8S ribosomal RNA", at positions 35 to 154 of the family's 154-position model. The record is from RNAcentral.
GAUGAAGAACGUAGCGAAAUGCGAUACUUGGUGUGAAUUGCAGAAUCCCGUGAACCAUCGAGUCUUUGAACGCAAGUUGCGCCCGAAGCCUCGGCUAAGGGCACGUCUGCCUGGGCGUCACGCAUCGCGUCUCCCCCAAACCGCCAAGGCGGAGGGGAAGGAAGAUGGCUUCCCGUGCCUCACCCGGCGCGGUUGGCCUAAAUUUGGAGCCCGCGGCACUUAGCUCUCGCGGCGAUAGGUGGUGAACAAGGCCUUGGCCGUGCAAACAACCCGCUGCGAAGCUCUAUGUCACGUGCGCUCGUCGGAACCUUUGAAGUUGCCUUCGGUGACUUAAAACCUUUGCGACCCCAGGUCAGGCGGGGCUACCCGCUGAAUUUAAGCAUAUCAAUAAGCGGAGGA